Molecule: ribosomal RNA, 485 nt
Filed under: Priestia megaterium
Lineage: Bacteria; Bacillati; Bacillota; Bacilli; Caryophanales; Bacillaceae
Description: bacterial SSU rRNA
Rfam family: Bacterial small subunit ribosomal RNA
Source: RNAcentral
AGUCGAGCGAACUGAUUAGAAGCUUGCUUCUAUGACGUUAGCGGCGGACGGGUGAGUAACACGUGGGCAACCUGCCUGUAAGACUGGGAUAACUUCGGGAAACCGAAGCUAAUACCGGAUAGGAUCUUCUCCUUCAUGGGAGAUGAUUGAAAGAUGGUUUCGGCUAUCACUUACAGAUGGGCCCGCGGUGCAUUAGCUAGUUGGUGAGGUAACGGCUCACCAAGGCAACGAUGCAUAGCCGACCUGAGAGGGUGAUCGGCCACACUGGGACUGAGACACGGCCCAGACUCCUACGGGAGGCAGCAGUAGGGAAUCUUCCGCAAUGGACGAAAGUCUGACGGAGCAACGCCGCGUGAGUGAUGAAGGCUUUCGGGUCGUAAAACUCUGUUGUUAGGGAAGAACAAGUACAAGAGUAACUGCUUGUACCUUGACGGUACCUAACCAGAAAGCCACGGCUAACUACGUGCCAGCAGCCGCGGUAAUAC